CCUACGGGAGGCAGCAGUGGGGAAUAUUGGGCAAUGGGCGCAAGCCUGACCCAGCAACGUCGCGUGAAGGAAGACUGCCCUCGGGUUGUAAACCUCCUUUUUUAGGGACGAAGCAAGUGACGGUACUUGAGGAAUAAGCCACGGCUAACUACGUGCCAGCAGCCGCGGUAAUACGUAGGUGGCAAGCGUUAUCCGGAUUUACUGGGUGUAAAGGGCGUGUAGGCGGGAAAGCAAGUCAGAUGUGAAAACCAUGGGCUCAACCUGUGGUCUGCAUUUGAAACUGGUUUUCUUGAGUACUGGAGAGGCAGACGGAAUUCCUAGUGUAGCGGUGAAAUGCGUAGAUAUUAGGAAGAACACCAGUGGCGAAGGCAGUCUGCUGGACAGCAACUGACGCUGAGGCGCGAAAGCGUGGGGAGCAAACAGGAUUAGAUACCCGGGUAGUC
RNAcentral lists this ribosomal RNA (443 nucleotides) under uncultured bacterium. RNAcentral describes it as "partial 16S ribosomal RNA". It matches the Rfam family "Bacterial small subunit ribosomal RNA", at positions 338 to 795 of the family's 1533-position model. The record is from RNAcentral.